Long non-coding RNA from Ornithodoros turicata, 732 nucleotides. RefSeq lists it as uncharacterized. The record is from RefSeq and is a predicted model, not a curated record. The transcript has 3 exons. NCBI's taxonomy places the organism in Eukaryota, Metazoa, Arthropoda, Arachnida, Ixodida, Argasidae.
AUUUUCACUUUUCACUGAUCCAAAGGAGGUCACGUGGGAUUGCUUGAAAAUGGCGAAACGAAACUUGUGAAUCGUGCAUUUGCUCUUCUUGGUAGCUGCCAGAAAAUCGAAUCAAGCUUAUGGGACACUGGAUUACAGGUUGCUGCCACUACUCCAUGUGCCCGCAAUUGUCUUGCGUGUAUGAUUACACUAACGGCGUCGCCCACCACGGCGGAAGUGUUUUGCGUACACGCGUUUCAGCAUGAAGCCUGCAGGUGGACGUAAAUUGUAGAAGGCAGCUAGUGGGGGAGAAGAUCAUGGUCAUAGGUCAUGUGACUCCUGGAGCUCCCAGUGGGCUCCCUUGUGGAGUACUUUUCAGAACACACACACAUACAGUUUGCUCACAGAACCAACGAGUAGGAUGUUGCUUGAAUACUGAGAGAAAAUGGCGUAACACAUACAAAUAUCGUGUGACACAUAUGACAAUAAAAACAUUUUUCACGAGGGAUGCAUGAAACACUGUCGCAAUAUUGUGUGCAUGAACCAUUGUGUGUGACACAAGCCGUGGGGGCACACCGCCUCGGACACAUUUUGGGAAGCAUAAAACACAGUAUAUACAGAGCUAGUAUGGUGGAUGCUUCUUUUUUCUUUUUGGCCGUUAUGAGACAUCUUCGGCCGUAAUGAGACUACCUUCGGCCGUAUUGAGACUUUGGCCGUAACGAGACACUUGGGGAUUAAAGGAUUUUCGGCCGU